CCUUUACUGACGCUAAAGCUAGAAGGUGCGGGUAUCGAACAGGAUUAGAUACCCUGGAGUCCGCACGGUAAACGAUGGAUGCCCGCUGUUUGCGAUAUAUUGUGAGCGGCCAAGCGAAAGCGUUAAGCAUCCCACCUGGGGAGUACGCCGGCAACGGUGAAACUCAAAGGAAUUGACGGGGGCCCGCACAAGCGGAGGAACAUGUGGUUUAAUUCGAUGAUACGCGAGGAACCUUACCCGGGCUUGAACUGCAGCAGAACGAUUGAGAGAUCAUGAGGUCCUUCGGGACUGCUGUGGAGGUGCUGCAUGGUUGUCGUCAGCUCGUGCCGUGAGGUGUCGGCUUAAGUGCCAUAACGAGCGCAACCCCUCUCUUCAGUUGCCAUCAGGUAGAGCUGGGCACUCUGGAGACACUGCCACCGUAAGGUGUGAGGAAGGUGGGGAUGACGUCAAAUCAGCACGGCCCUUACGUCCGGGGCUACACACGUGUUACAAUGGGUGGUACAGAGCGUCGGCGGCCUGCAAAGUCCGUCCAAUCGCAAAAUCCAUCCUCAGUUCGGACUGGGGUCUGCAACCCGACCCCACGAAGCUGGAUUCGCUAGU
This 600-nucleotide ribosomal RNA is filed under the name uncultured bacterium. RNAcentral's name for it is "bacterial SSU rRNA". It matches the Rfam family "Bacterial small subunit ribosomal RNA", at positions 734 to 1339 of the family's 1533-position model. The record is from RNAcentral.